This 18-nucleotide ribosomal RNA is filed under the name Phlebia sp. RNAcentral's name for it is "partial 28S ribosomal RNA". The record is from RNAcentral. Lineage: Eukaryota; Fungi; Basidiomycota; Agaricomycetes; Polyporales; Meruliaceae.
UGACCUCAAAUCAGGCGG